This is a long non-coding RNA of Monodelphis domestica (gray short-tailed opossum), 2120 nucleotides long. RefSeq lists it as uncharacterized. The record is from RefSeq and is a predicted model, not a curated record. NCBI's taxonomy places the organism in Eukaryota, Metazoa, Chordata, Mammalia, Didelphimorphia, Didelphidae.
GGAAUCAACUGGGAUAAGAACAUGGGGGACAACAGGUAUGGUCAAUAGGUAAAAUGAAGUAAGGAGGGGUAGCAGAGGCAGGGAGUUUUGCCUUUGAUCCAAGGGGAUCAGAGAGAAAGAAAAUGUGGAAAAGAGAGUUUGCUAGCUGAAAGGAAACAAAACUGUUCUGCCCUUAGUAGUAGGUAUCCCAUGCUCCAAAUUAAUAGAUGAUUUGACCUUCUUACCCUUAAAGGAGGCCAGAGGUCUGAGAAAUCAAAAUCAAGUCAUCGAUAAAACCUAUAGAAAGUAUUUUACAUAUGAUCUCAUUUGAUACUCAUGAACUGUAAAGCAGAGGCUAUCAUUAUUCUCACUUUAUUGGAAUAUUGAGAGCACAAGUGGUUAAAUGAUUUGCCCUGAUCACACAGUCAGUAAAUGUCUGAUGAAGGAUUUUAACUCAGGUUUUCCUGAGUCCAAGUCUAGCACUUUAUCCACUGGACCCCCUACUUGCCUAACUAUGUCUGUUGCAGCACCCUGUCCAUAUGGAUGAUCAAGAAGUGCCCCUGACCAAGCAGGUCAUGAAGAAAACUGAAGGCUGAAGAACUUCAAAAAGGACUAAGUCUGAAUGUGGGAAGCAAAUUAGAGAACAUGGGGAAAUGUCAAGAAGACAUUUUCCUCUUUUUGACUUGUUUCAUCUAUCCUGCUUGUGACCAACUCAUCCUUCUCCCUUCUGUAGCCUUCUUAGCAGAACAAUCAGAGGGGAAUAACCCUCUUGAACGUGGCCGGUAUUAAGAGGCAUGAGAUGCAAUUACACGUGAAUGUUUGGUAGCCACAUGGGAAGGAAAUGAUCAAGAAGCAGUCAUGGCCACCCCAAAGUGAGAAAAGCUCUGUAUGCUGUGUAUCCUGCUUGGCUAGCCUGGGUUGCCUUCAGAAGAGGUCAGCAGAACGCUUUAAGUUCAUCUGGGCCUCAGUGCAAAUCAGUCAGAGGUUUGCUCUGACUGCAUCUGGGAAAUGGUGAAGAAACAGACUGGGAAGGUCCAGAUCCUUCCUCCGGUAUAGAUGGCGUCAGAGGAUCCUUCCCAUUCUGUGAUUUUGUCAUACUGUCAAGAGACUGGGACAUCACCAUUCUGGGAGUUGAUCACCACAAAAUUCUAUCUGUAACCUUUACAUCAGAGAUGUCUAUGGCAUAAAAAGUUUAGGUUGCUUUGGGAGAUGUCUGACGUGUCGUGACUCUAACUCAAUUCAGAAACCAGAGGAAAUGUUUCUUAGCCUGUGAGACAGGUACCAACUUUCACUUAUGUCAUUCUGACCAUGAUAUAUCAAAAUAAAGUUUUGUUAAAAGAAAAGAAUUAGUAGAUGUCACACCUACUAUAACAAUUAUUUGUACUACUUCCAAAUAACAGAAUCAAAUAAUGCUAGUGCCCUGAAAGACUUUUGUUUACUUAAUAAAUGUUCGUUUUAUAUAAUUGAACUUUGUCACUAAUUACUGAAUGACUCACUUAAGAAAAUAAGAAUGAGAAUUUCAAUGAUGGAUGAAGGAUAUCAGAAAAAGGAAAGAAACAUGGCAUAGAUGUAUCAGAAAAAGGAAAGAAACAUGGCAUAGAUGGCUCAGUGAAUAGAGUGCCAAGCUGGGAAUGAGACUGGCUUCAAAUAUGGCCUCAGAUACUUCCUUGCUGUGUGACCCUGAGAAAAUCGCUUGACACAAAUUAUCUAGUCCUUACUGCCCUUUUCCCUAGGAACCUAUUGAUUCUAAAGUAAGGCUUUGGUGUUUUUGUUUGUUUGUUUGUUUUUUAAAGAAGAAGAAACACACUACAGGGACUAUUAAGGGCCAGUUUGGAGUCAGGAUAACCUGAGUUCAAGAACUGUCUAUGACCCAUAUAAGUUCUGCAAUCAUGGGUAACCUCUCAAUGACUUAGGCAACUCUCCUAGAGUAUAGAUUACAACUGAGUUACUAAUUAAUGUCAUUAGAGAGAUUUUCCACACCAGGAAUUCCCCAGUUUCCAUAUUGAGCACCCAGAGAACCUGGGUUCAAAUGCCACUGGAAUAGAUAAAAGGAUUAUAGAUGUUAAACUGGAAAGGAUCAACUCCAGGCUAUCUAAUCUACCCUCUUCGUUUCCCAGAAAAGGAAACUGAAGCUCAGGGAA